GAAAUGCGAUAAGUAAUGUGAAUUGCAGAAUUCAGUGAAUCAUCGAAUCUUUGAACGCACAUUGCGCCCCUUGGUAUUCCGAGGGGCAUGCCUGUUCGAGCGUCAUUACACCACUCAAGCUCUGCUUGGUAUUAGGCCAUCGCCCCGCGAAAGCAGGGCGUGCCUCAAAAACCUCGGCGGAGCCUCACCGGCUUUGGGCGUAGUAGAAUUUCUCAACGUCCUUGAAGUCUCCGGUAGGGCCUCUUUUGCCGUUAAACCCCAAACUAUUUUUAAGGUUGACCUCGGAUCAGGUAGGGAUACCCGCUGAACUUAA
Molecule: unclassified non-coding RNA, 313 nt
Filed under: uncultured fungus
Lineage: Eukaryota; Fungi
Description: sequence contains ITS1
Rfam family: 5.8S ribosomal RNA (bases 1-105)
Source: RNAcentral